UUGUCUGGUGCCCCGAAGCCUUCUCUGCUGCAGAAGAGCUGGACCUCAUAGGGUUUGCAGAGCCCGGUUAAGGCAUCAUGGGUGCUGAGCAAAAGAGGGAUCAUUCCUGCCGCCCCCAGGGAGAGAUACAGGGGAAAAUCCUUGAGAGCAAGCCUAGGGCUGCUUUUGAACUGGCAUGGGAAAAAACAUGGGAGCCCAGAGGGCUGGCCAGCAGUGCUAGAGUGUGUGGAGAGCUUGUGGGACUGUCACACUGCCUCAAAGGCAGGCGUGAGGUUUUAUUGAACUCUUGCUGAAUGGAUUUGGAGAUGUGUCGUGGUUGGGGUGAACUGAUGGUGCUCUGGGAAAAUACAGCCAAGGUUGCAGUGACUGCUGGGAAACCAAUGCUGAACACAAGAUUAAUGCUGCAGUAGCUCUCAGUGCCCUUCCCAGAGCCAUCGGAGCUUCUUCGGCGGCCCUGCGUCGUUCGGGCCGUCGGGAGACCCAGGACGAGCGCUCAGAGCAGCAGAGCGUGAGUCCUGCUGCUGCAGCGCCGGUGAGAGGGAGCGGCUCGUCAUCGCCACUUCUCCCCAGCUCACCUCAGCAGGUGGAGAGCAUGGCCACGGAGCUGGACGCCCGCUGUCCCAUCUGUCUGGACAGCCGGGUGAACCCCAGCUACGUGCUGCCAUGCCUCCACCGCUUCUGCUUCGCCUGCAUCCAGCGGUGGGCUGAGAGCAAGCCCGAGUGCCCCCUCUGCAAGCGCAGGGUGAGCUCCAUCGUGCACUUGGUGCGGGCGGACAACAGCUUCAAGGAGCUCGUCAUCCCACCACCUGCGGAGGCACCGCUCAGCGCCCACCUUAGACAGAGUGUUUUCAUCCACUGUCAAGCUACAGCACUACAAGCAGAGGCUGCAAGCCUGCUGCCCAGGGCUCUUGUGGGUGGUCUCCAGUCCCACAUCUUUGCAUCCGUCUUCAGGGAGCACCCAUCUUUAUUUUAGCCCCUGCUACCCUGGCCGCACCAGGAGCUGGGGCAGAUGUUUGGGGAUAAUCACCAGGAAGCAUCUGGGGUUGAGAGACUUGUGUUUAACUUGAGCUUCUUUGGUCUGUCUGAGGAGCACCACAUGCAGCUGCUGCAGCCUUGCUUGCAAAGGCACACAGCAGGUUUUGUUCGCCGGCUUAUUACCAUUGCCGUGGAGCAGUGCAAUGAGAAGGCGCACCAUGUGCUGCACAGCCAUGCUGCUAGGAGACAGGAGGGCAGCUCUGCUGCUUCCCUGGAAGGGAAUCCUGCCCCUGGAGUGGAGCCGUCCAGCAGCUUUGUUGUGUCCAGCACACGGGAGCUCCUCACCAGCUUCUCAAAUGCCUUCCUGAGGAUCCCAGCCAUGUCCCCUCCACUUCCAGCCAGUGCAGUGAACCUACCCCUGUGAGGCCCUGUCGCAGGCAGAAGGACCAGCAGCAGAGCCUCAUUACCACCCAGCAAGAGGCCACAUCAUCUACACUAGAAAGGUCCUCCAGAAGCUGGUGAAACAAGCUGGUCCACGGGGACCAGGAGGCUUUCCUUAGUAACCUAGAAGUAAUGGGCACAUAAUAAAACAAAGGCAUUAAAAUUACCGUAUCAGUAUAUGGCUGCCAAGGACAAAAGUGAAGAUGAGUGCCAUACAGCUCCACAGAUCAUCCCCUAGCCUUUAAAAAUGGGUGCAACACUUGGCCAUCUCUGGUCUUCGGUUCCUCCCCCACGCUUCACAACCUUCCAAAGAUGAAUGGCCUCACAGUGAUACCAGGCAGCCCACUCGGCACCAUCAGACACGUUCCAUCGGUGCCAAGGGAUUUGUAUGGCUUAAGUUUUGCUGUUGGAGCAAAUAACGCCCUACCUUGGGUUCCCAGUUUAGCCAUACCAGCCCUCUGAUACAUUCGUUUGUUCAUUUGUUUUCCUGAGCAUCAGGAUGCCCUGUUCUUGUUGGAGAAGAUCCAAGUCAUGAUAGUCCUUUUGAUCUUUAUCCUUCAGAGCUGGCUCCCCUAGAGCUGUUCCACAGCUACCUCUUACCUGAAAAAGCCAAAGCUGUCCUUCCUGAGGCACAGGGAGUGUUUUGCUACUCUUGCAACUCACCUUCCUCACCCUCUACAGGAUCUUGAAUUCCUCUGUACUAGGGUUACUACAGUCAAAGCUGCUGUUGACAAUCACAAGUCUGACCAGUUCCUCCAUGCUCAUGAGUUACAGAUCCAAGAUGGCAUCACCCCAGGUUGGUGGAUCCAGCGUCUGUCACCCCUACUCUCUCCAAAAAUCACCCUGAUAGAUUUUCUGUUGCUGCAGAUGCCAGGCAGGUUGAAGAUUGCCAGGAGAACUAAUGUCAGUGACUGGAGAGCAAGUCAUGCCAGCAAUAUUGUACUUCUGUGUCCAGCACAGGUGUUCUAGCUCAAACUUAGCAACGGGGAAUAUAAGAAGGCAGUACCUGGAGAACCUUUCUCAGGGGUCAACAGGGGUCAAACAUACUCCCUUAAAACAUCAGAAAACAAAGUAAGGUGGGGUGUUCUGAAGUUUGGUUCAUUGGUUGGAUUUUGGUUUGUACAGUUUGUCAUUAUUGUUCAAGCAAUAAAAUACGUUCAGUCAGAAA
Non-coding RNA from Anas platyrhynchos (mallard), 2584 nucleotides. Lineage: Eukaryota; Metazoa; Chordata; Aves; Anseriformes; Anatidae. The record is from RefSeq and is a predicted model, not a curated record.